GGCCCAGCCCAGGCUAGUGCAGUGGACUAUCGAACACCACGUCGGGCAGAAUGGAGACUUUCAGCUUCUUUUCAGGCCAGCUGUACUCUUUGGGAAGUUUGAACUGUGGAGGGAGCAAGCACAGAGCCAGAGUGCACACAGUUAGCAGAACUUACUGCCUUCUUUCCAGGCUGCCUAAAGAGAGGCCAGGGCCCUCACCCAUGCUCUGUCCCCCAGGUGCUGGGGGCAAGAGAGGCCACUGGUUGCCUGGCUUCAACUGCAAAUGCUAUUCCCAGGUGGGUGGCUGGGGUCAAGCUGCUGGAGUUCGGUGACCCCUUCUUUCCCCUUGCCCUGCCAAUAAUUAACUGGGGUUGGAGGAGGCAUGUUUUCUAACUCUUUCUUGACUGUGCUGACCUCCCUCCAGCUCACUUCCUUGGUUCUGCCUCCGGCCACAAGCAUGUAAGGAAUCUGCUCCCUGAGGCCCUGGGGCUGGGGGGAUGGGGGGCAGGGGGAGGGUGCAGAUGAUACAGGGAAGUGGCUUGAGGUCUGGAACUUUGUGGUCCUGUCCCUGCCAUGGCUUCUCUUCCAGAGGCUGGUGCAGAAGGACCCUGGAACCUGCCCUCUGUGGCCUUGGCCAAAGGGUCCAAAGGGAAGGAGGCCCUGGCUUGGCCUCAGUGGGAGCAGGGGAGCAGGACAAGGGUGGCUGGAGGUGAUUUCUUGGGCCUGGUGCAUCCCCAUCCUGCUCUCCUUGAUUCAAGCUCAUCUGUUACCCAGGGUUACCAGCCUGAGCAUGGUGCCAGCGGAAGCCAAAGAGAGUCCAAGUUCUUCCUACCCCAGCCCAGGAGUCACGGAUUUGCUUACAGUUUUGUUUCUCCAGCUUCUGUUUGGGGUAGGGGAAAGAGGCUGAUACAUCUUAUUCCCUCUCCAGGACCUUGCAUGUGGUCUGGUACACAGCUGGUGCUCACUAGAUGCUCACUGACUUGGAAACUGGGUCUGCUGUUUAUGUCUCCUACUGUCCCAGGGCUAGGUGAGAAGUCAGCCCAGCCUGGAAAGGUGGGAAGAACAGGGCCCUCAGCCUGCCUAGAGCUGGGGCUGGAAGUGGACGGGCCUAAUACUUCCUGGCUGGCCGCCUCUCCCUCCCUCUGAUGGGGGACUUGUCCAAGCCAGGACCAAAGUGAGUGGAGAGUGGGGCAGGAUGUGGGGACAGCCUCUGGACAGAGAAGCAAAAAAAAAAAAAAAAGUCAUUUUUAGUGACCUACUUUCCUAAGCUCCCCCUGGCUCCUGUCCCUCCUGCCUGGACUGUCCCCCUCCUACCCCUUCAACACCCAAGCUCAAAGCAGCAGUCUGGCACGGUGCCAUCCUAGUGCGACACGGCCUCUCCGGAAGCACUUCUGGGCAGCUGGCUCUGGUCUGAGUGAAUAGGAGCCAGGCCUCAGGGACCGGUGACUUGUGGGGGUUGACUGGCUGGCGCAGACGGGGUGCUUGGUGACUUUGGAAUGUAUAAAUGAGUUAAUUUAUCAAGCCACAUCCCAGAGGGCAGAGGUGACCUCAGGUUCUGAGGAGUUCCUGUCCACCUGGGGACCUGGAUAGGACAGUCUCACCCCGUGUUCUCUCCUCCACCUGGUGGACAUCAGAGGCCACCAUGUCCUGGCUGAUACGGCCCUGGGAGCCCUGGCAGCUGUAAACUCCAGCCCUGGCUGAAAUCUAGCCCCUGCAUGGCCUCCCUCUGGCUUGAAAGCCUGGCUGCUGGGAGGUGAAGGAGUUCUCCCCCAAACACACUUCCCGGCAGAAAGGCCAAAGAAGCAUCUGUCUGUCUCUCGCAUAGGCGCAUAGGCAGAGGAGGGCCCUCCAGAGGCCUGGCUAGGUUGCUAAUGUUCCACUAACCUAUGGGGCAUUGAGGCCAGGAAGGCUCAGAUCCCACUGGGGUGCAGCUUAGUAGGAGGCCGGGGGAGGGGACGGGACUUUCCAGGAUGAGGUAAGUCCCUGCAAAUGAGGAUGCCAGGAACAAGGAAGAAAAACAAAGGGGAUUAUGGGCUCCAUUCAUGUACCCCAGAUGAGUAGCCAGGGAAGGCACAAGCCCCCACCUGGCCUGCCAGCUCCUCCUGCUGGAAGAGGCAGACCAAGAAGCGAGAGCCCAUGGCUGGAGAAGGAAGGAGGCUGGCUCCUGGGUGGCCUGAGGCGAGAGCAGGAGUCCCUUACUGCCCACCAGAACUCCCCAGUGGAAUGUUCUCUGGCAGCAGGCGUGGGCUUUCUGUUCAGAACCUGCCAGGGAACAGCAGGGGCUGAGGAGAACCACUAGCCCAAAGGCCCUGGCUGCCUCUUCAAUGAGGUUCUCGGAGCCACCAAUUUGGACAAUUUGCUGGGUGUCCUUAUGGCAGCUGGGGUGGGGCAGGGGGUGGUGGGAAGACAGACAUAAAGCCGUUUAACAUCUCCAGGGUCUCCUGUCCAGCCUAUCCCCACACCUUGGAGACAGACAGACAGAAAGACACACACAGGCUCCCUCCUGGAGACUGGAAGCCGCUGUUAGAGAGAAUCAAACAGGCUUACUUCCUCUGGAGAAGUCAAAUCUUCUAAGUCCUCCAACAUUUUCUCUACAAACUCUUCAGUCAACAGAAUCUGGGAAGAAGGCACAAGACAGGCUUUUAUUAUUAUUUCUUAAUAUAUGGUCUUUUUGCCAACUGCCAAGCUGUGGCUCUUUCUUCUGGCCACGGAGGAGAUAUGAGCCCGUGGUGGAUCUGUUCUAGGGACAGAGGGAAGUGCUGGAAGCCUAUCCCUGACUGUCAUUUCCCCCCAACUCCCACCAGCCUGCCAUAUCAGAGGGACGAGGACAGUGAAGGAGGGCUGUCACAGGACAACGGGGAAGCAAGGUGUGGGUACGUGGGAGAAUGGUACUGCCGGUCCCCAGAAGGGACAAAGGAAUGGGCAGGAAAAUAGCCUGUUUGGCAGUUCGGGCCCCCUGCACGCGGUAGUGCAGCAGAGAGGAAACAGAAAAGCUGAUGGCUGGGGAACAGAGAUUGCCAACCAUCCUCCGUGCCCAACUGGGCUCACAUGUUCCUCUUUACCCCCCACUUGGUAGGACAAAAGGAAUCUGUUUGGAUUUGGAAUACAAGCCUCGUCUGGAAUCUAGAAAUGCCCCAGAAGGUACAUCCAAGAAUGUGUAAGCCGGAGAAUUUGCAGAUUGUGCACCAAUCUCUCUCAUUUUGCAGAUGGGAAAGGGGCUCUCAACCCGUUUCCCUCCGCAGUAUCCACAUCUCAAGCUGGAAGCUCCCAAACCCCUGCCCUGCUGGGCUCACUCAGCCACUGAGCUCUCCAAAGCUUCCUUCGAGAAACCUCUCCUCCAAGUCACCUCCCAGCUGUCCCACUUCACUGCUCUAGUCUGAUGCCUUGUCACUUCAUGCUUUGAUGUUCAGGACAGCCUGGCCCCACUACUCAGCUGGCACAACCACUACCCUCACAGGCCUUCUUCAAGCUGGUGGGCCAUUUCCCCAGCUGGCUCAGGCUGGCUCUGCAGAGCUAGGCCAAGCUCACACCAGGCCUGCACCACAAUGGGCCCAGGCUGAGGAUGUCUUUCCUCUUCCCAACCUGACUCUUUCCUCCACCCUUUUCCUUCCUGUGCUGGUCCAGGAGCCUCCUGGUCUCCACACCUGACCCUUCCCUACCCUCCAGGCUGUGGGUCCACCUGCCUCUGUUCUGCCUCCUCCAGCAAACUCUGAACACCUUGGGUGAGGCACAGAGGAAGAAGGACAAUGGGGUGAAGACCAAGACCUGGAGCUGAGAAUGGUAACAGAUCUUAUCCACAGGACACUGGAGAUAGACAACUGUGACGGAGCAGCUCCUGGGCGCUCUCAUGAGCAACAGACUCGCCGUUGUGAUGCAACUGUGGGAAAAGCCUGCGAUGCUACGCUUGGGGCUCUUGAAGCUCACUGGGUCCCUGUGGAGCUGCCUGGCUCUGCCACAAAUGAAAACAGGAUGGUUAUGAAGACAGUGGCAAUGAUAACACCACCAGUGGCAGAAGCAGUGGUGCCUCCUCCAUGUGCGGGGCACUGGGCUAAGCGCUUGACUGGUAUCGUUUCACGGAACCCUCCCGGCAGUCCCGCAAAGGUGGUAACUAUCACCCCCAUUUUGCAGACGAGCCGGUGUCGAGAGGAGACAAGGCUCCUGGACUUUAGAACAGUGAUCUGACCUCAUGGUGGUAGAGGAUACUCUUUUUCCUGUCUGGAGAAAAUACCUCAAUUCUAGAAGCCUUGUUUACUCACGGCUAACUCUUCUCUCUCUCCUCUGAAAGGGGAGGUAAAGGUGACUUUGGCUUCUACCGAUGGCCUGGAAAACCAGCCGUCCUAACCCCAGCCAGACCUAUAUCUCCUCGAGAAGAACAACCCCGAUUAGCUCAAGACGGCUGAGUACCAUAGACACCCAGCUGCUCAAAAAUUGAGUUGGCCAACUGGAAGGAAGGCAAACCAUGCCCAAAGAUGGUUUCCAAGUGGGAACAGCAAGGCAAAUUUCCAGGCCAGCUUAGUGAAUGCAUACAUAAGGGAACAUUUACUCUAACCCAGAAAAGAGCAGUAGAAAUAAUAGUAAUAAUACUGAAAAUAACAACAGCACUCAGUAACACGUGGUCCCCAUGAGCUGGGCAUAAAAUGCUUAGGUUUCUGUAUAACCAGCCCUUGGAGGCAGGAGGCUCUCUGGUGAGAGGAGAAAGCUCCCACCAACCAAUCUGAACAGCAAACUCCCCUGGCAAGCUUCUGAAAAUAUGAAGAUGCCAUCCAGACUUUCAGUAUUGGAAUAUCCUGGCAAGGCCAAGGCAUCUGCACUUUUGAGGCACCCCAGGGGAUCAUGGGAAAUACCCAGGCUCACAGGGGAAGGGGGUUUGGGCGCAGGCUUAACCAACAGGGGUGAGUUGGUGGCUGCAGCUUCAACACCUUCUAUUUGGCCAAGAUGUGAGGGGAGCAGUGGCUCCUUGCUCCCCACUACCAACCCCCACUGUUGGUCAGAAAGGGGGCUUGGAAUCCAGAUGGCAGCUUACUCCAAGUGCUCACACCAGGUGCCUUAGGACAACCUGGCUGGCUGGUGAUGAGGGAUGGUUGUCAAUAAUCUCCCAAUUCCCCAAGCCCCAGCAAGGUCCACAAGGAACCCAAAAAGUGAUCUUUCAUGGGGCCUGCCCUGGGCAGGCCCUGCUGUGCCGCAGACAGGAGCCCAGCUGCUGCAGAUCUGAUUCAAACGUCUGUGGUUGGUGCUAUUUCUGAGUCUGCAAACAGCGUUGACAAUGCCCACUCCUUCCCCUUGAUACGACAAUCCACACUUUGUCCGGGGCCCUGUUUGCUCUUCGUGUUGACACGUUGUUCUUGCUUCCCAACAAGUUUGGCUUUCUUCUUCCCUCUCUUUCCUUCUCUCGGAGGCGGAAAUGUGUUGUUUACAGGGUAAGGCCUGCCAAGGAGCUGCUCUGGCACCCACAAUGGCCAAGGAGGAGGCAGGACGAGGAAGCAGUCCGGUCUGUGUCCACCCCCCUCCCCAGACUCCAACAGGCCAGACGAAAGCCGGAAAACAGCCUGGAGACCCCCCAGGCUUGGGGGCAGAGGUGUGUGUGGCACACACUCAUUUCCUGUUCUCAGUGGGUGGUGAGAAGUUGGCUUUGGUGGCCAGGAGCAGGCUCAGAGCCCUCCUGCUCUGGUUGCCGGCUUGUGAGGGCAGAGUGGGCCAUCACAGUCUUCUCCUAAAGGGAGGGUGCUGUACUCCCCAGGCACAGUGCUAGGUUUUAAACCCUGAUGGGUGUACCCUGGGACAGUGAGGUCCCAGGAUGGCAAACGUCUCCAGGGAGAACAGGUUGUGGCCAGGUUUACCAGAAGAAGGAGAAACAGUAGAGGCACGGGAGAGGAGCUGCCCAGGGCCUGGGCCAGGGACUGCCAAGUGUCUUCCACACAACGUCCAAAUGGGUGGAUGAGGACAGAAGGCGGGGGCUUGUCCAGAGGACAGUGGUGAGUCAGCCACUGGGCUAGGAUGAGAGCCCAGUAGUGAUUCCCAAACUUGGCCUGGAGCGGCGAGCCCACUCGGAACAACAGCUGGGCAUCGUGUCCUGAGGCCGGAGCCUCCCAUCAGGGCUGGCAGGAACGGCUGGGAAUGGGGGCUCCACUUGGGUGAGCUAUCAGACACCACACAGCUGAGAAAGCAUUGCAGGGCCUAAAAAAAUAUUCUCAUAUUUGGUGAUAUGACCUCCAUGUGACCUCUGGGGCUGACUUCUCCCCCCUUCAGAUCAACCCUGGCUGGGGAUAGAUGAACGACUCAGUUCUGGGCUGGGCUCCUGCUCAGAAGACUAACAACCCAAUGUUGACAGCCUCAAGGGAGAGAGGCUUGUUAAAGCUACCGGGAUGUGGAAUGCUGGGGGAAGGUGUGCAAGAGAGGAUGCUGGCAGGCCUCCCCCAGGGCCUGGAGACCCUCCUGAAAAGCUCUGGAGCUGGCUGACAGGCUUUACAAUCUCCACGAGGAUGAAAACAGCAGAUGGUAGGGCAGAUGGAGUCAAGGUGUUGACCUCCGGAAACUGAGAAGCCUAUGGAAUUGGUGCAGGAUUCCUGACUCUCCAGCUCCUCCAGGAAGCAGGGAGUGUCCACUGAGCUCACCCUGGGGUUGCAGACGGCCCUGCCUUUCUCUGGGCUGGGGCCUUGACUUUCCUGCAGCUGGAGAGUGGGGGAAGGGGAGGAGCAUAGAGGGUAGGUGCAGGCCCAGGAGAAGGUGGGUGUGGAGGCCUGUGUGGGGCCACUCUGCACACUCCAGUGAGGGCCCAGAUUCCCUCACCUUCUGCCUUUUCCUCUCAGCCUCUCCUUUGUCACUCUUCCCCCAUGUGGGGUGUCUUUGCCAUGCCUUUUCCCCAAGAGAUAACAGGCCCGGGCUGGUAGCCAGAACAAGGUGCCAAGGCUGGGAGCAGGGCUUCCAAGGCUGUUGAGGCUGAUGUAAGAAAGUCAUCCCAGCCCCUCCCCAUUCAGCUGGGAUCAACAGGGAGAGUUCAAGCAGCAGCCAAGAAAACAGAAGUCUAGAGCUCUUCAUGUUCUUGGGCCUGCCGCAUUCAGCUCCUUCCUGCUCCUCUGUCCCUAACAGGCCUGGCACACAGAGGCCAACGAGACACCCCAGAUCCUGGGAGCACGCGCAAGAGAUGCCUGCAGGGGGGGCUGUCCUCUCUGUGUUGGGGAACUCCCUCCAGAGGGGCUUGGGGCCCUUCUUGGUCCAGUGGAGAGGCCCCUCUUUGGUAAUGAGCCUAAUCCCAGACCUCCAAGAGGUCCUGCAGACUCCUGGGGAGACAACCAACCCCAGAGGGAGCCCCAGAGGCCCACAAGUAAUUACAAGCCCAGGUUCCCACAAGCUAGGCAGCUGCCUGUGACCACAGUGGCAAGACCCUAAAGGAGAAGGUGAACUGGCAGUCAGAUGCAGAAAGUGCUGACUGCUUUGAGGGCAGGGAGGAGAGCUGUUUGGGUGUUGGCUCCAUGGCUGAGGACUGGCGGAUGGAGAGUGGGGGGUACGGGCAGAGGGUUUCCCAGGGCUCCUUAGGCCUGAGAAUCCCCUUGGUGAGUGAGGGUGCAGGCUUGGGGAAUGGGGCCCCAGCCAGCCUUCCUAGGAGCUCCCCUGUGAGCUGGCCCGUGCUGGACCACACUAAUGAGCCCAUAACACAGGCCUUUGAUUAAGCAGCUCCCCAGCACAGCAACUUUAUUGAAACAUGCCGAGGCUAGCGGCUGGUUCCCACCGCUCCGGUUCCCUGGGCAACAGUGCAUGGGAGGGGCCAUGCCCAGUGCUUCAGCUCCCUUGAGGGGGCUGCCCCAGGGUGAGGGGAGUGGGGCUGGGAGUACAACGCCAGUAGCCCGUGGAUAAGCGGUUGGAUUCAGAACUCUGGGGGCCCUGAGGGGCAUCAUGACAUCUGCUGAGUCCUCUGGGGGCUGGGGCUCCUAGGCUGAUGAGAAUGGAGAUGCUGACCAACCCCUCCUCAGGGUGAGAAGACUUUCUAAGGGGGAUGGCAAGACUCUAAGGACAGGUUCAGAGUUGAAGAUGUAAAACGUACUGGGGGUAAUUUCUUGAGUUUGGGGAGACCCUGGUCCCUACUUUCCCAAGAAAAUGUGCUUGAACCUCCAAUACACACAAAUGCCAUCUGAGGACACUUCUGAGACCUGUCAGCACAGUCAUCUACUGGGAAUGAUGACCUGUUAACCCUUCUGCUGGGUCCCCACCUCCCCCUUCCUUACCAGCAAGAGGCAGCCUUGCUUCCUGGGACAUAGCUGGGGUGGGGCGGUGGGGGGCAGGGAGGCCCUUUCCACUUGUGCUGGGCUAGUUUCAAAUGUUACACUUCAGAGCUUUUGCUACAGUAACUACCAACACCACAUGGACAGAAAUCUAAUGUUACCAAGUGGGACUUUUAAAAUGUAUUUAUAACUUUAUGGUUCAAAGUAAUUUUGUUAUGAAACAAUGUAAUAACAACAGUGGAAAAAGGCAAGAUAAUUUAUGGAACACAA
Long non-coding RNA from Acinonyx jubatus (cheetah), 8465 nucleotides. RefSeq lists it as uncharacterized. The transcript is spliced from 2 exons. The record is from RefSeq and is a predicted model, not a curated record. NCBI's taxonomy places the organism in Eukaryota, Metazoa, Chordata, Mammalia, Carnivora, Felidae.